Molecule: ribosomal RNA, 464 nt
Filed under: uncultured bacterium
Lineage: Bacteria
Description: partial 16S ribosomal RNA
Rfam family: Bacterial small subunit ribosomal RNA
Source: RNAcentral
GACGAACGCUGGCGGCGUGCUUAACACAUGCAAGUCGAACGGUAAGGCCCCAGCUUGCUGGGGUACACGAGUGGCGAACGGGUGAGUAACACGUGGGUGACCUGCCCCGCACUUCGGGAUAAGCCUGGGAAACUGGGUCUAAUACCGGAUAGGACCGCACCGUGAGGGUGUGGUGGAAAGUUUUUCGGUGUGGGAUGGGCCCGCGGCCUAUCAGCUUGUUGGUGGGGUAAUGGCCUACCAAGGCGGCGACGGGUAGCCGGCCUGAGAGGGUGGACGGCCACAUUGGGACUGAGACACGGCCCAGACUCCUACGGGAGGCAGCAGUGGGGAAUAUUGCACAGUGGGCGGAAGCCUGAUGCAGCGACGCCGCGUGGGGGAUGACGGCCUUCGGGUUGUAAACUCCUUUCACCAUCGACGAAGGUUUUCUGACGGUAGAUGGAGAAGAAGCACCGGCUAACUACGUG